GAGUUUGAUCCUGGCUCAGGACGAACGCUGGCGGUGCGCCUUAUGCAUGCAAGUCGAGCGAAGCUUUUCAGUAGUUUACUACAGAAAAUGACUGAGCGGCGAACGGGUGAGUAACGCGUGAGCAACCUACCUUAGUUACUGGGAUAGCCCGAGGAAACUCGGAUUAAUACCGGAUAUUCUUAUUUAAUCACAUGAUUUUUUAAGGAAAGGUCAGCCGAACUAAGAUGGGCUCGCGUUCUAUCAGCUAGUUGGUAGGGUAAUGGCCUACCAAGGCUACGACGGAUAGCUGGUCUGAGAGGACGAUCAGCCACACUGGGACUGAGACACGGCCCAGACUCCUACGGGAGGCUGCAGCAGGGAAUAUUGCGCAAUGAGCGAAAGCUUGACGCAGCGACACCGCGUGUGGGAUGACGGAUCUAGGUUUGUAAACCACUUUCAGGAGGGAAGAAAAUGACGGUACCUCCACAAGAAGCCCCGGCCAACUACGUGCCAGCAGCCGCGGUAAUACGUAGGGGGCGAGCGUUGUCCGGAUUUAUUGGGCGUAAAGAGCUCGUAGGCGGUUCAACAAGUCGGUCGUGAAAGUUCAGGGCUCAACCCUGAAAUGUCGAUCGAUACUGUUGUGACUAGGAUACGGUAGAGGUGAGUGGAAUUCCGAGUGUAGCGGUGAAAUGCGUAGAUAUUCGGAGGAACACCAAUUGCGAAGGCAGCUCACUGGGCCGCUAUCGACGCUGAGGAGCGAAAGCUAGGGGAGCAAACAGGAUUAGAUACCCUGGUAGUCCUAGCUG
This 785-nucleotide ribosomal RNA is filed under the name uncultured bacterium. RNAcentral describes it as "bacterial SSU rRNA". It matches the Rfam family "Bacterial small subunit ribosomal RNA", at positions 9 to 802 of the family's 1533-position model. The record is from RNAcentral.